Molecule: ribosomal RNA, 253 nt
Filed under: uncultured bacterium
Lineage: Bacteria
Description: partial 16S ribosomal RNA
Rfam family: Bacterial small subunit ribosomal RNA
Source: RNAcentral
UACAGAGGGUGCGAGCGUUAAUCGGAAUUACUGGGCGUAAAGCGCACGCAGGUGGCUGAGUCAGUCGAUUGUGAAAGCCCUGGGCUUAACCUGGGAAUUGCAGUCGAUACUACUCAGCUAGAGUAUGGGAGAGGGCAGUGGAAUUCCCGGUGUAGCGGUGAAAUGCGUAGAUAUCGGGAGGAACAUCAGUGGCGAAGGCGGCUGCCUGGCCCAAUACUGACACUGAGGAGCGAAAGCCAGGGGAGCAAACGGG